Long non-coding RNA from Acipenser ruthenus (sterlet), 3587 nucleotides. RefSeq lists it as uncharacterized. The transcript is spliced from 6 exons. The record is from RefSeq and is a predicted model, not a curated record. NCBI's taxonomy places the organism in Eukaryota, Metazoa, Chordata, Actinopteri, Acipenseriformes, Acipenseridae.
UUCUCAACGCGUUUCUAAUUAAAGACACGCCGGGCUAACCCACAGGGACAGCUUCCUUGCGUCUGCAACAGAAUAAAAAGUGAGCGAGCCCCUGCCAAAGAGGGAAACUUCAUCAACAGACACAGAAAAAAAAGUUGCCAAGUGCAGUUUUAUUCUUUUUCCACCCACUUUCAAGUCGAUAAAACCAGCCUAUGCAGCUAACUGCAUCUAUACAUAUAUAAGAACCUGCGUUUGGACUGACACGGUGCAGAGCAAUUACUUGGAAUGAGUGGAUGGUGCUUCUGAAGAUUGAGUGCUACUUUGUCAUUUAUAAUCCGUGACCACAGUGGGAGUUAACUUCUGAAAAAGGAAUACAGAUACACUUUGAAAGAAAACAAAAGCAAACAGGGUAAUAAGAAGAACCGAAGCUGAGGAAAAGGCGUAUUAUAAACAUCUUUCAGUAGCGAUGAACGGACUGAGAUCGCCUCUCUUUCUGGGACUGGUGUUCAUAAUGUGCACAGCUGGAUACUGCAAAGAGGGGACUGAGCACAGGGACAUGAGGGACAGUAAAACCCUCUUGAACUUGAUAAUGGAAACUGUGAAUCAGUUGAAAAAGCACAGUUCACAAGAUGUGGAAAAUAGUGUACAAUAUUUAACAAAGCAAAACAAUUACACUUUUGAUCCUAAGGGAGUACAUAAUUACAAGUCUUAUAAUGAAGACCAGCGAGUUGAAAUCUUUCCCAGAGAUCUUAGAACGAAAGAAAAGUUUUUGAAUCAUUUAACAGGACCUCUUUACUUCAGUCCAAAGUGCACUAAACACUUCCACCGGCUUUAUCACAACACCAGAGACUGCACAAUACCAGCAUAUUACAAGAGGUGUGCAAGACUUCUUACAAGAUUAGCCGUGAGUCCAAUGUGCAUGGAAGGUUAGCCUUAAAAAGGGUGCACUGUAAUAUGAGAAAUCCCAAGAACCAAGAAAAAGUGCCUCGGAAACCAACUCAAAACCUUUAUAUCAUGUCCAUUGUAAACAAAGAUUUAUUUUUGCAAAUUGGUGGAAUACUUCCAUAGACUUCUUUACACAUGUUUAUGUUGUCAGCAUUGUUUGCGGACAUACCGCAAUUGUUAAAAAUGGUACUAACGUUUGACAGUACGAAGAAGAUAUAUUGAAAAACAAAGAAGAAGAAAAAAAAAAACAUGCCACUGUUCUGCAUUGUAUUGCUGCCAAAAGAAACUAGACAAAUGUGUUAUUCCUUAAAACAUUUGGAAGCUACUUCUAUUUUGUCUAACAUACGAUUGUGGGUCAUAUUUAUAUUGACAUCUAGGGGCUGAUGUAAGGAUAUGUGCAAAGUGAUUUGCGGCUGCAAAACACCCAUAUUACUGCUAAAAAACGUGUUUAGCUGGCGUAAAGUGGAACUUUAACGGUCACUAAAUGCAGCGUAUUUAAAGAAUGGUUUUCACCUGCCGUUCUGCACACGCUAUCAAAUUAGCACUUUGCCAUCAUGAAUCCAUUUAAAUGAUAUCUGAAAUAUAUUCAGUUGAAGAAAAGAGCAUGGAAUUGGGCAGGGAUCUGGCAUACUAAGCAGGCGCAAACAUUAUAAUGAGAUGUAAGGAUUUGCUUUGCACUUGGGCAAUUGCUGACCCUUCCAAAAACGUUGCACAUCCUCGACAAGGUGCAAACCAUUGUAGAAGCGAGUAAUUAAGAACUGUAUAAAAGCACACACCUGCAGAGACCUGUCAUUGGCCUCAGGGUGGCUGCUGUGGUACACCGCCACAUGCGGCGACUCUUGGCUCUUGUAGAGGACAGGCAGGAAAACCUUUGGAGGAGAAGGGCAAGACGGAGAAGACACUGCAUAUUCAAACCCAGGGUCACUUUGUUUGGGAUCGAUUGUCUUCUCUGUACUCCUAACUCAUCUAACUGGAUGCACUGCCCGAUACGAUCAAUAGCGACGCAAUUUGUUAGUCACAUAGGCAGUGUGUUAUGCUUUUCGGUGUGCUUUUACAGGAUCGGCUGAUCGAUUUCAGUCGGCUCGCAAAAUUUAAACGUUUAAUAUUUAAACAUGUUUAAACAAUUCCGUCACAUCAGCUUUUGUGUUAUACUCACUCGCAAGUCUCAAACUUAGCAACCAAUUACUUUACCACGUUAGUUUAUAUGACUGGAGACAUGCAUGUAUUCUCUCUAUUCUCACUAAUUACACACACACACACAUAUAUAUAUAUAUAUAUAUAUAUAUAUGCUAGGGUGCGUGGUGUAAGAAUGUAAGAAUAGCUGAAUUUUCUGCGAUAUUGCUAAUAUUCUAGAGACCGUUAUUGAGAAUUAUAUUGAGAAAUUCAAAGUAAUAUUUAUAAUUGCUUUUUACAAAUUAAAAACAGAGACAUCGUAGUCAAUUUGGUUACGAAUCAGUUUUUAAGAAAACUUUCUCAGACAAAUUGGAGAUUGUUAAAAAAUUGAGGUAUACACCAUAAAGACACAGGAAUGGGAAGGGAUAUACUCACCACUUCCAACAUUCAAAUUAUGAUAGGUAUCCGUAACUUACCGGUAAAAAAAUGAUACUGCUUUCAGUACAGAAAAAGCGAUAUGGAACAGCACUGGCUACAGCAAUCUAGGAUGUCUAUCGAAGUCAGCACAAAAACAUGAGCGUUUCCAAAAUCACUUGCAAGCCACUGUAACACUCAAAACUUUUGGACAAACCCAGAUUGUGUUCAACUAGAUGAGCAGAAGCAGAUACAGUACAUCACAAUGAGCAUGUAAGAAAACAUCUUAAAUGCUUGAUUGAUUCUGUUGUUUACUUUGGCAAGCAAGAACUGACAUUCAGGGGGCACGAUCAAGGCAUCAAUUCCUCAAGUAGAGGUAAUUACGUAGAAUUACUUUCUCUGCUUUCUGACUACAAAUUGUUCGUCCCUUGAUUCCAUCGGGCAGUGCGUGAUGCCCGCUCGCAAAGAUUUUUUUGUGACACAACCUCCUCCAUUUUCCGGGCUUAAAGUGCGGCCACUCAUUGAGACCCUCAUUAUCAUGAUUGCAGCUCAUGAUUUGUGCGUGUUGAGUAAUUUGCAUUGCUCUUAAGUUACAUAGGCCGCAGUGCAAAAUAAUUGCCUGGCCGCUAGGCAAUUUGGAUUUUGCAGCUGCAAUUGUUUGCAACGCACCUUACAUCAGCCCCCUAAUGUAACGUCUUCACAGCACUGGUUAUUACUUGACAAAAUGUAACCUAAGUUUAAAGCAAAUUCCUGGGUCUCAGCAACCACAUUUACUUUGAAUACUGGGGUCAUAUUGUAUCCCAUGGUUAAAUUAUAAAUUACAUGACAAUUUUCUUGCCUUUUUGUCUUUGCAAGACAUUAUCUCUUAAGCAAAGUUGAUUUGAUUUAGAAAGUGCUGGUCAUAGUUUACAUUCUGUAAAAGACAAACAGCAUAUUUUCUGAAACUCAGUGGUGUGUGUGUAUAUAUAUAUAUAUAUAUAUACACACACACACACAAAAUACAUGUGUGUAUAUAUGUAUUUUUUUCAAGCUAAUGUCAUUAGUCUUUCUGUACAUUAAAUGUAUAAACAUUCCAGCUAAUGUGCAAUAUGUAUAUAUUGUAAAUAUUAAAUCAUCCAAUUAUAAAUAAAAAUAAG